This 1000-nucleotide ribosomal RNA is filed under the name Bacillus pumilus. RNAcentral's name for it is "bacterial SSU rRNA". It matches the Rfam family "Bacterial small subunit ribosomal RNA", at positions 48 to 1035 of the family's 1533-position model. Lineage: Bacteria; Bacillati; Bacillota; Bacilli; Caryophanales; Bacillaceae. The record is from RNAcentral.
CUGGGACUCAGGCACAGUAAGUGAGAGCUUGCUCCCGUGAUAGUUAGCGGCGGACGGGUGAGUAACACGUGGGUAACCUGCCUGUAAGACUGGGAUAACUCCGGGAAACCGGAGCUAAUACCGGAUAGUUCCUUGAACCGCAUGGUUCAAGGAUGAAAGACGGUUUCGGCUGUCACUUACAGAUGGACCCGCGGCGCAUUAGCUAGUUGGUGGGGUAAUGGCUCACCAAGGCGACGAUGCGUAGCCGACCUGAGAGGGUGAUCGGCCACACUGGGACUGAGACACGGCCCAGACUCCUACGGGAGGCAGCAGUAGGGAAUCUUCCGCAAUGGACGAAAGUCUGACGGAGCAACGCCGCGUGAGUGAUGAAGGUUUUCGGAUCGUAAAGCUCUGUUGUUAGGGAAGAACAAGUGCGAGAGUAACUGCUCGCACCAUGACGGUACCUAACCAGAAAGCCACGGCUAACUACGUGCCAGCAGCCGCGGUAAUACGUAGGUGGCAAGCGUUGUCCGGAAUUAUUGGGCGUAAAGGGCUCGCAGGCGGUUUCUUAAGUCUGAUGUGAAAGCCCCCGGCUCAACCGGGGAGGGUCAUUGGAAACUGGGAAACUUGAGUGCAGAAGAGGAGAGUGGAAUUCCACGUGUAGCGGUGAAAUGCGUAGAGAUGUGGAGGAACACCAGUGGCGAAGGCGACUCUCUGGUCUGUAACUGACGCUGAGGAGCGAAAGCGUGGGGAGCGAACAGGAUUAGAUACCCUGGUAGUCCACGCCGUAACGAUGAGUGCUAAGUGUUAGGGGGUUUCCGCCCCUUAGUGCUGCAGCUAACGCAUUAAGCACUCCGCCUGGGAGUACGGUCGCAAGACUGAAACUCAAAGGAAUUGACGGGGGCCCGCACAAGCGGUGGAGCAUGUGGUUUAAUUCGAAGCAACGCGGAGAACCCUUACCAGUCUUGACAUCCUCUGACAACCCUAGAGAUAGGGCUUUGCCCUUCGGGGACAGAGUGAC